RNAcentral lists this ribosomal RNA (303 nucleotides) under uncultured bacterium. Its description in RNAcentral is "partial 16S ribosomal RNA". It matches the Rfam family "Bacterial small subunit ribosomal RNA", at positions 507 to 807 of the family's 1533-position model. The record is from RNAcentral.
AGCAGUAGCCGCGGUAAUACGUAGGUGGCAAGCGUUGUCCGGAAUUAUUGGGCGUAAAGGGCUCGCAGGCGGUUUCUUAGGUCUGAUGUGAAAGCCCCCGGCUCAACCGGGGAGGGUCAUUGGAAACUGGGAAACUUGAGUGCAGAAGAGGAGAGUGGAAUUCCACGUGUAGCGGUGAAAUGCGUAGAGAUGCGGAGGAACACCAGUGGCGAAGGCGGCUCUCUGGUCUGUAACUGACGCUGAGGAGCGAAAGCGUGGGGAGCGAUCAGGAUUAGAUACCCGUGUAGUCCCUGUCUCUUAUAC